This 497-nucleotide ribosomal RNA is filed under the name uncultured bacterium. RNAcentral's name for it is "partial 16S ribosomal RNA". It matches the Rfam family "Bacterial small subunit ribosomal RNA", at positions 28 to 507 of the family's 1533-position model. The record is from RNAcentral.
GACGAACGCUGGCGGCGUGCCUAAUACAUGCAAGUUGAGCGCUGAAGGUUGGUUCUUGUACCGACUGGGUGAGCCGCGCACGGGUGAGUAACGCGUGGGGAAUCUGCCUGUGAGCGGGGGACAACAUGUGGAAACGAAUGCUAAUACCGCAUAAAAACUUUAAACACAAGUUUGAAGGGUGAAAGAUGCAGUUGCAUCACUCAAAGAUGAUCCCGCGGUGUAUUAGCUAGGUGGUGAGGUAAAGGGUCACCAAGGCGAGGAUACAUAGAGGACCUGACAGGGUGAUCGGCCGCACUGGGACGGAGACCCGGCCCAAACGGCCUCGGGAGGCAGCAGGAGGGAAUCGUGGGCAAGCGAUGAAAGUUUUACCGCGAAACGCCGCGUGAGUAUAGAAGGUUUUCGGGUCGGAAAACUCGGUUGUUGGAGUAGAAAGCUGUUUAGCGUGGAACGCUCAGCAAGUGACGGUAACUACUCAGAAAGCGACGGCUAACUACGUG